RNAcentral lists this ribosomal RNA (328 nucleotides) under uncultured eukaryote. Its description in RNAcentral is "partial 18S ribosomal RNA". It matches the Rfam family "Eukaryotic small subunit ribosomal RNA", at positions 1470 to 1796 of the family's 1831-position model. The record is from RNAcentral.
CCCUUAGAUGUUCUGGGCCGCACGCGCGCUACACUGAUACGUUCAGCGAGUAUAUAACCUUGAUUGGAAAAUCUGGGUAAUCUUUUGAAUGCGUAUCGUGCUAGGGAUAGAUUAUUGCAAUUAUUAAUCUUGAACGAGGAAUUCCUAGUAAACGCAAGUCAUCAGCUUGCAUUGAUUACGUCCAUGCCCUUUGUACACACCGCCUGUCGCACAAACCGAUUGAAUGAUUCGGUGAAAAUUUUGGACAUCGAGAGUGGUGAUUAAUUUCGCUGCUCUUAAAUGGAAAGAAUUUAAACCUAAUUAUUUAGAGGAUUGUGAAGUCAUAACA